Molecule: small nucleolar RNA, 316 nt
Filed under: Buteo japonicus
Lineage: Eukaryota; Metazoa; Chordata; Aves; Accipitriformes; Accipitridae
Description: Small Cajal body-specific RNA 7 (ENSBJAG00000000190.1)
Rfam family: Small Cajal body-specific RNA 7
Source: Rfam by way of RNAcentral
UGGAAGUGAUGAAAUAGAGAUAAUUGGGUGUCUGUUUGAGUGGAGUGUGUGUGAUAAAUAGAAUUUAAACCAAAUUAAACUGGGGGUGGGGUGUGGGGAAUGUGUGUCUGUGCAUGUAUAGAAAAGGCUUAAAGCGGGGGCACUGAUAAUGCAGUGCUGAUUCCGGAGUGCAUCUGAGGCAUGUUGUUGAGUUCUGGGGUGCCACUUUACAACAUUGCCAAUGAUUAAAGCCCAAAACAAGCCCACCAAAAUAAGCCUAGGCAUCUUAAAUCUCUAACAGGUUCAUAAAUGAAAGUGAUCCUGUGAUCUGAUCCAA